RNAcentral lists this ribosomal RNA (1068 nucleotides) under Cladosporium cladosporioides. RNAcentral describes it as "SSU rRNA". It matches the Rfam family "Eukaryotic small subunit ribosomal RNA", at positions 57 to 1135 of the family's 1831-position model. The record is from RNAcentral. RNAcentral also lists the same sequence under 2 other names. Lineage: Eukaryota; Fungi; Ascomycota; Dothideomycetes; Cladosporiales; Cladosporiaceae.
GUCUAAGUAUAAGCAACUAUACGGUGAAACUGCGAAUGGCUCAUUAAAUCAGUUAUCGUUUAUUUGAUAGUACCUUACUACAUGGAUAACCGUGGUAAUUCUAGAGCUAAUACAUGCUAAAAACCUCGACUUCGGAAGGGGUGUAUUUAUUAGAUAAAAAACCAAUGCCCUUCGGGGCUCCUUGGUGAAUCAUAAUAACUUAACGAAUCGCAUGGCCUUGCGCCGGCGAUGGUUCAUUCAAAUUUCUGCCCUAUCAACUUUCGAUGGUAGGAUAGUGGCCUACCAUGGUAUCAACGGGUAACGGGGAAUUAGGGUUCGACUCCGGAGAGGGAGCCUGAGAAACGGCUACCACAUCCAAGGAAGGCAGCAGGCGCGCAAAUUACCCAAUCCCGACACGGGGAGGUAGUGACAAUAAAUACUGAUACAGGGCUCUUUUGGGUCUUGUAAUUGGAAUGAGUACAAUUUAAAUCCCUUAACGAGGAACAAUUGGAGGGCAAGUCUGGUGCCAGCAGCCGCGGUAAUUCCAGCUCCAAUAGCGUAUAUUAAAGUUGUUGCAGUUAAAAAGCUCGUAGUUGAACCUUGGGCCUGGCUGGCCGGUCCGCCUCACCGCGUGUACUGGUCCGGCCGGGCCUUUCCUUCUGGGGAACCUCAUGCCCUUCACUGGGCGUGUUGGGGAACCAGGACUUUUACUUUGAAAAAAUUAGAGUGUUCAAAGCAGGCCUUUGCUCGAAUACAUUAGCAUGGAAUAAUAGAAUAGGACGUGUGGUUCUAUUUUGUUGGUUUCUAGGACCGCCGUAAUGAUUAAUAGGGAUAGUCGGGGGCAUCAGUAUUCAAUCGUCAGAGGUGAAAUUCUUGGAUUGAUUGAAGACUAACUACUGCGAAAGCAUUUGCCAAGGAUGUUUUCAUUAAUCAGUGAACGAAAGUUAGGGGAUCGAAGACGAUCAGAUACCGUCGUAGUCUUAACCAUAAACUAUGCCGACUAGGGAUCGGACGGUGUUAGUAUUUUGACCCGUUCGGCACCUUACGAGAAAUCAAAGUUUUUGGGUUCUGGGGGGAGUAUGUCGCAAG